ACUCCAAAGGUUGCGAAGUUAAGCACCCUGGUGCUAGAAGCUGCCAGAAAUCGGACUGUUCACAUGAGUUCAGUUUGAUCUCCUAUUCUGAUUUCUUUUUACAAGAUUCUGCGUAUUUCAGGCCUUAACCUCAUCCAGCGUGCUUGUUAGACAGGGAACAAUGCAAUGGGCCAUGAAGAAAAUACUUUCUCUUGUGAUUAAGGCACAGCAUGGAGAGUUAUGCUCUAGACAGAGUUAUUGAUGGCAUUAAGGAAGGAGAGAUCCCCAAGUGAGCUGUGAAACACAAAACAUAUUUUCUGAAGGUGACCACAUGCUCGACUCUCAGCCAGAUUGUAAGGAAGGCAUUCUGUAGGUCAAGAUCGCAGACCAACAAGAAGCUGAUGAAGAUGACUUAAGUAAAACACAGAGGCCCACGGUGCUCCUCAUGGCAAGAAAUAUGCUCCAAGCGUCUUCUAGCAAGCUAUACACUUUCUUAUCAUGAUCCAAGAAAGCCACCUUGUACUCCAGGAGUAUGGAAUAUGCAAUGAAUGCAUGAUAAAUUGUAGUUAAUGAAAGUAAUCCAGUUUAGUUGGGUUUGAUUUAACUGUCAGUCUGAUCAGUAUUUAUCUUUGUUUGCAGAAGGAGCAGGAGAAAAAAAAAGAUGGAAACAUUUCAGUCUGCUAUGAACUACGUGAAACCAGAUUAAUACGAUAGUGGCAACUGGGAUGGACAUUGCUAAUUAACAACAGCUUAAAAUAGGCAGAGAACAAUGAUACGUAGCAAGACUUCUUCUUACCUGUUUCCAAGUGAAACCAUCCAGAAGCUCAGGCACCAUGAGGCUGACCCUCCAACCAUCUGCACUAACCGCAGGAGUCUGCUGGCUCCUUGUUGUGUGCAGCACAUGGUGACAUUCUUGAAAGAAGAACUUGUGCUUAGCAGCCGCCCUGCAGAAGACUCCAUUUACUGGCUAUGUCUUAAAAUCUUCCUUCCACUGUAGCGCUGAGAGAAAUGGGAAUAUACUUUCCUGCUGGCCUGCUUGCUGCUGAUUUGACAUCGUGCCACGUGGGGGAGGUGUUGGAAAUAGGCAAAUACUGCAGAAUUAAAAAAUAUAUAUUAAAAAAAGAAAUCACUCUGAGUUGAAAGGGAAGAGAGCCAGGAAGGGAAGUACCUUGGGCAGUGAAUUAGGCUACGACUGUAUCAAAGCCAACAGCUCCUUGUUUUAAUAUUUAACACCCAGGAGAGUGGAGGGGAAGGAUGCUGAGAAUGGGUGAGAUUUUUCAAAGGCGCCCAAUUUCCAGUGCUUUUCCCUGCAUGCCUAUCUAGUGAAUAUUUGGUUUGAUGUGAUGUUUGGUCACCCAGGAGAACAUUUACACAUCCAACCUCAAAUUACCAAAAAGCUUGAGCUGGAAAACAUAGUGUGGAGAGAGGUUGGAAGGGGAGGUGACACCAACCCCUAGAGCCAGAAUCCAGCAUUCAUCACUCAUACUUAUCUUACCAGAAGCCAAAGUAAAGCGUUUCACUCUGGGUCAAAGGGAUUGUUCAAGAUGUCUGGAGAAGACAAAAGGGGGAGGUGUUUUAUGAUAUGUUUACCUAAAUAAGGGUUAUAGAGAAGAGUUGUGCAACCAAAGGGCAGCCUGGUCUAGUGGUUGGCCACCCUGCACUCAGCAGGGGGGUUGAAACUCGAUGGUCUUUGAGGUCCUUUUCAACCCAGGUCAUUCUAUGAUUCUAUGAUUCUACGAAAAGAGGAGGCAGUUGGCUCAAGUAGGGGAAAUUCCUUUUGGACAUAAGGAAAAAGUUCUUUCUCGUGAGAGCACUGAAGCACAAGAGGAGGAUCCCAGACUGUGAAGUUUCAGUCCUUGGAGACAAUAAAUACUCAAUGGAGUAAGGACCUGAACAACUAGAUCUAACCCUGAACCUCGACUUGCUUUGAUCAGAGCAUUGAGCUGCAGACCUCCAGAGGUCCCUGCCAGCCCAAAUUACUGUUCAUUCUAUGAAGCUGAGAGAGAGAUUGAAUAAAACAAAGGGAAGAAGUUCCCCAUUUGUUUUCCUCUCUUCAGCACAGCUGGAAGCCCGUGCUCUUGUGCUUUGCCAUGACUUUUGCUUUUAAUAUGUCUGUUUGAUGCAGGUCUUAAUAUCCAUUUCAGAUGCUUUACUUAAUCAUUAAGCUAGUCUGAAGCUGUUUCAGACAGUGACGAUCUCUGCGUUAGUGACAAUGAAAUGAAUUGCACUGCAAGGAGGAGCACUCUUACUGCAUUGUUCUGCAUUGCCAGCACUGAUAGGGGUGUCUUUUGAAGCUAUGGGGACAAGGAAACAAAUAAAAGAAAGGCCAGACGAGGUACAGUGUACCAGGUCUACAAGCUCACCAGAAAAAGUUAGCUGAUGUUCAUUGGGAGGCUUGCAGCUAGCUAGUUGAAUUGGGAUGCUACGUGCACAUGGAUCUGCUCCCUUUGCCCAUCUUGUUGGUAGCAAUGAUGUAUUCUGAGGCCCCAAGACUGGGCAUAGGAGGUCAGGUCCUGUUAUACAACACAACAGCAUGAUAGUCCACCUGUUUCUGGUAAGGACCGAUAUCCAGGUCUUCUUCUCAGUAAGGAACAAUAUAUUUUUUGCCUGUUUUGGUUUCAUUUAGGGGCAGGGAGGUUUAGGGUCUUGAUCUUUCUGCAAAACCUUCAGACGUUUUGUUACUCUUAACUUGUGUGAGGAUUUGACUUGGGAUUUCAGGCAGGAAAAUGAAGCAGUCUAUGGGAUCGGGUCUUAACAGGGUGUUAAGAAUGCUUGCACAUGUGGAUACUGAGGGACUCUGCACCUGAUCCGACUCACUGAGCAUUCCCAGAUAGACACUGGUGCAAGGUUCCAUCCCUGUAAGUAGUGGAGGUUUAGGAAAGGGCCAAGAUGCAGAGUUAAGCGAAGCUCUUGCUGCAGCAGGUCACACUGCACCCACAAAGGCCCUGUUUGAGUGGAUUCAGAAAGCUUUUGUCCCAAAUAUUUACAAUUUGGCUGCUAAAAAGAACUGCUGAGUGUAACUCGGGGCACCUUUUUGCCUGAGGGUCAUGCAGAACAGCACAAGGGAGCUGCUCUUCCUGCCAGGCUGCUCUCUGCCUGCGGAGGGGAUGAAAGGAAACCAGCCACAGACAGCAGAUGCUCAUUAUUUUACUUAGGGCAGCCCACUGCAGGGGGAGGGGGCAGGGGAAGAACCUGUAGCAGACAGACCGGCUGAAAGCUCUGCUGAGGAGCAGCCUUCCUACAGCCAUGGGAAGGGAUGCGAUGUGGAGCAGCCAGGCCUUGGCCAUGUGCUGUGUUGCUGCAGCAAGGUCCAGUCCUCACUUGCUGGCAGUCUCAGCAUCUGCUUUGACUUUGCUGCAGCCAGUGAGAAGAGUGGGGAGAUGGUCCUUUGUCACUUAUUAGAGGAGGAUACAUCUCCUCUGGAGAUGGAACCCUUCAGUGAAUCACUCUGAUCUUGCCCAGCGCUGCUCUUCUGUGGUUUCAAAAGAAACUGUGCAAAAAUAUUUGUUCUUUUAUUUCUAGUCUGUCCCUAUAGGAUUUUAUUGGUGUCUCUCCUCUUAAAUUCAGGGACUUUUUCCUGGCUUAAAGGUAGCUGGUAAUUGACUUACAGCUUCCUCUCUACAGGAAAUUACUGUAUCAUGUUCCCUUUUAUGCUGCUGCGUUGUGGAAACUUUCCUGUGGAUUUCGGGGGAAAAGAGUAAUAAAAAGGUGAGAGCAGAACAGAAAUCUACCUCUGGUUCUGAAUCUGCUGUGGUUCAGAAGGGAUCAAGUUUUGUUCUGAUAAGGAAUGUCAUUAAGAAGAGCUGCAGUGUGUUCAUGGUCCUCACAGCUCAUGUGGGGACCUUCAGUUGGAUCCGCAGAACUGUUCUUCCUUGAAAGGUCACUAAUGCUUUUGAAAAUGGUGGUUGUUUCUCCUGGUCUGUUCCUAGAGCACAUAGAAUCACUAAGGUUGGAAAAGACCACUAAGAUCAUCUAAUCCAACUGUCCACCCAACAUCACCAUGCCCAGAGGAUGGUGAGAGAAAGAGAAGCAUCCUUACAUUCAGUCUCCCCAUCCUUGGAGACACGGAAGGUCAGGCUGGAUGGGGCUCUGAACAACCUGAUUGAGCCACAUAUGUCCCUGUUAAUUACAGGCGGAUUGGACUAGAUGACUUUUAAGGGUCUUCCUUGAUUCUACAUUUCUAUUCCACCUCAGGGUGGAAUUACAGGACCCAAUCUUGGCCACCUGGAGUGCCCAUCUCCUUGUGGAUUGCAUCUCUCUGUGCAUUUACCAGCCACUGAACAAUGAAGAAGAAGAUGCUUCCAAUGCUCAAAAACCAUACUUUCAGUGCAGGAAUCAAACUAACAAACGUACAGGAGCAAGCAGCCAAUGCUAACCAUAUUAGCUAAAAUUACAAGGACUUGCAAGCUUCAGUUGUCAGGGCAAAACUGAUCUCUGGGGAUGGUCAGGAAGGCUGUUUCCCCUGUGGAACAAGACUAUACAAGCAGGUGCAUGAAGCAGGUUUUAUGACUGCAGCGCAGUAACAGCUGGAGGCCCCAGCACGGGAUCGGGUUUCUUGGCUUGGCCCAAGAUUAUACAUUAGCAGAGGGACUGCCAGAGAUGUGCGAUCUGGUUCAGAUCAGAUAAGAACAUCUGCCUCCUCCUGCUGCCCUCAGUGGAUGAUAUGUCAAAACUGGCUCCCAGCGUGACUCUGCUGGAGCCGAGCACCAUUCAACCCACAGGUAAUUUGCUCCAGUAUGUUGCAAAGCAUCAGAGCUGCUGGGGCUUGAUUCCCAUGGCCAAAGCUGCACUCAGUGGAGCUGGAGAAGGAGGCACCUCCAUCAUUCAUUGUGUGAUCCAGCUUCCCCCUUCAUGGCCUCAGCAAAGAUGGGCAGCUUCCACCUGGCUAUUAAAGGCUUUUUCCUUCUGUUUGGUUGUGCACAGAUGGGGACUUGUGGUACAGGGAUGCAAAGGCCACAUGGCCACGUGGUUGUGUCACAUAACUUGAGCAUCUCCAGAUUGGCAGGAAUGCUCGCUUAGAGGCUGUCCCCCUGUUAGCCAGCUCUAUUCUACCUCUUUCUACUAAUAUAUUGAUUGUAAGAAGUCUGAUCCAAUAAAUACUCUUGAUAGGAAUCAGAUUUGGCAGAAAUAAAGCUGUAAGUAGGAAGACUGGUGGCUUGCUUUGCACGAUGCCCAAUGAGAAUAGCUCCUACUCCACAAGCCUCUGUGGGAUAUCAUUAAACAGCAUUUUCGUUUUCAUAGGGCAAGAGGGAAUGGCCUCAAGUUGUGCCAGGGGAGGUUCAGGUUGGAUAUUAGGAACAAUUUAUUCUCCAAAAGAGUGGAGAUGGACUGGCACAGGCUGCCCAGGGAG
This is a long non-coding RNA of Numida meleagris (helmeted guineafowl), 5329 nucleotides long. RefSeq lists it as uncharacterized. NCBI's taxonomy places the organism in Eukaryota, Metazoa, Chordata, Aves, Galliformes, Numididae. The record is from RefSeq and is a predicted model, not a curated record. The transcript has 4 exons.